This 500-nucleotide ribosomal RNA is filed under the name uncultured bacterium. RNAcentral's name for it is "partial 16S ribosomal RNA". It matches the Rfam family "Bacterial small subunit ribosomal RNA", at positions 899 to 1397 of the family's 1533-position model. The record is from RNAcentral.
ACUCAAAUGAAUUGACGGGGGCCCGCACAAGCGGUGGAGCAUGUGGUUUAAUUCGACGCAACGCGAAGAACCUUACCUGGGCUCGAACGGCUGACGCAAGCCGGUAGAAAUACUGGUCCUCCCGCAAGGGACGUUAGUCGAGGUGCUGCAUGGCUGUCGUCAGCUCGUGUCGUGAGAUGUUGGGUUAAGUCCCGCAACGAGCGCAACCCUUGUCCUGUGUUGCUAAUCCGUAAGGAUGCACUCUCAGGAGACCGCCAGCGAUAAGCUGGAGGAAGGUGGGGAUGACGUCAAGUCAUCAUGGCCUUUAUGUCCAGGGCUACACACGUGCUACAAUGGACGGUACAAAACGCUGCUAACCCGCGAGGGGGAGCUAAUCGCUAAAAACCGUUCUCAGUUCGGAUCGCAGGCUGCAACUCGCCUGCGUGAAGCUGGAAUCGCUAGUAAUGGUAUAUCAGAAUGAUACCGUGAAUACGUUCCCGGGCCUUGCACACACCGCCCGU